Molecule: ribosomal RNA, 933 nt
Filed under: Triticum aestivum (bread wheat)
Lineage: Eukaryota; Viridiplantae; Streptophyta; Magnoliopsida; Poales; Poaceae
Description: partial small subunit ribosomal RNA
Source: RNAcentral
AUGGUUCAGGCCGGAUUGGCUCAGCCGGCGCCGAGCCCGGCUGCGGCCGGGGCGGUGCACGUCGCGCUCAAGAUCCCCUCCGGCGGCGGGCCGUAUGCACGGGCCAAGCACUACCAGCUUGUGGAGAAGGACUUGGACGUGUCGAUCGCGUGGUUCUGGAAGGCGAUCGAGACGGGGGACAAGGUGGACAGCGCGCUCAAGGACAUGGCGGUGGUGAUGAAGCAGCGCGGCUACCUGGACGACGCCGUGGACGCCAUCCGGUCGCUGCGCCACCUCUGCCCGGGGAAGCAGUCGCAGGAGUCCCUGGACAACAUCCUGCUCGACCUCUACAAGGCCAGCGGGCGCACCAAGGAGGAGAUCGAGCUGCUCAAGCACAAGCUCCGGCGGAUCUACCACGGCCAGGCCUUCCCCGCCGGCAAGGCCACCAAGCGCGCGCGCUCCCACGGCCGCAAGAUCCACGUCUCCGUCCAGCAGGAGACGUCCCGGGUGCUGGGCAACCUCGCGUGGGCCUACAUGCAGCAGCGCAACUUCAUGGCGGCCGAGGCCGUGUACCGCAAGGCGCAGAUGGUGGAGCCCGACGCCAACAAGGCCUGCAACCUCGCGCUGUGCCUCAUGGAGCAAGGGCGGCUGGGGGACGCCGAGGGGGUGCUCGCCGAUGUGGUCGCCGGCGCGUUCCGCGACGGGAGGGAGAGGGAGCACGGCGGCGGGAAGGUCGUGAGGAAGGCGGAGGAGCUGCUGGAGCGGAUCAGGGCGGAGACUGGCGGCGGCGGCGAGAAGGAGGCCGGGGAGGAGGACGGCGCCGAGGCCGACGAGAUGGCGGAGCUGCUGGACAUGGUGGCCAGGCAGUGGGCCGCGCCGUACAGGAAGAGCCACCGGAGGCUGCCCGUGUUCGAGGAGAUCACACCCUUCGGCAGGGAGCAGAUGGCUUGCUAG